CGGGUGAGUAACGCGUGAGGAACCUGCCUCAAAGAGGGGGACAACAGUUGGAAACGACUGCUAAUACCGCAUAAGCCCACGGCUCGGCAUCGAGCAGAGGGAAAAGGAGCAAUCCGCUUUGAGAUGGCCUCGCGUCCGAUUAGCUAGUUGGUGAGGUAACGGCCCACCAAGGCGACGAUCGGUAGCCGGACUGAGAGGUUGAACGGCCACAUUGGGACUGGGACACGGCCCAG
RNAcentral lists this ribosomal RNA (233 nucleotides) under uncultured bacterium. RNAcentral's name for it is "partial 16S ribosomal RNA". It matches the Rfam family "Bacterial small subunit ribosomal RNA", at positions 103 to 334 of the family's 1533-position model. The record is from RNAcentral.